AAGCGUGCGCAGGCGGUUAUAUAAGACAGAUGUGAAAUACCCCGGGCUCAACCUGGGAACUGCAUUUGUGACUGUAUAGCUAGAGUACGGUAGAGGGGGAUGGAAUUCCGCGUGUAGCAGUGAAAUGCGUAGAUAUGCGGAGGAACACCGAUGGCGAAGGCAAUCCCCUGGACCUGUACUGACGCUCAUGCACGAAAGCGUGGGGAGCAAACAGGAUUAGAUACCCUUGU
This 230-nucleotide ribosomal RNA is filed under the name uncultured bacterium. RNAcentral describes it as "partial 16S ribosomal RNA". It matches the Rfam family "Bacterial small subunit ribosomal RNA", at positions 563 to 791 of the family's 1533-position model. The record is from RNAcentral.